AAAAUCCGUCGACUUUUAAAGUCGUGAGGGUUCAAGUCCCUCUAUCCCCA
This 50-nucleotide transfer RNA is filed under the name Henckelia grandifolia. RNAcentral's name for it is "tRNA-Leu". The record is from RNAcentral. Lineage: Eukaryota; Viridiplantae; Streptophyta; Magnoliopsida; Lamiales; Gesneriaceae.